Molecule: unclassified non-coding RNA, 200 nt
Filed under: Chaetosphaeriales sp.
Lineage: Eukaryota; Fungi; Ascomycota; Sordariomycetes; Chaetosphaeriales
Also listed under: 1 other name
Description: partial contains internal transcribed spacer 2 and large subunit ribosomal RNA
Source: RNAcentral
UCGAGCGUCAUUUCAACCCUCAGGCCCUGCCUGGCGUUGGAGGACUGCGCACGCAGCCUCCCAAAGCGAGCGGCGGCGGCGCCCCGAAACCGAACGCAGUAGUUACUUCUCGUUCUGGGUCCGGGUCGUUGUCCUGCCGGAAAACCCCCCUCUAAUCAAUGGUUGACCUCGAAUCAGGUAGGAAUACCCGCUGAACUUAA